CCCCCAACCACCAGACUUUUUUCUUUUGCCCUGGUUCCUGCUGUGCCUGAGCUGCCCUGGUGUCUCUUUGCCCUCUGGGUUGGAGCUGCUGGAGGAGCUCUGGUGGCAGCACACGCUGUCCUGCAGGCACUGCUGGGGACAAGUCUCCUACCCCACUGCUGAGCAAUUCUGAGAUCCCCAAUCCCAUCUGGAGGGUGGGAUCCUCCUGGGUGUGCUGUGCCCUGCUGAGAUGUGAGCCCAGGCUGGGCUGUGCUGUCUGCCCGUGCUCCCUGCCCUGCUGCAGCAGAGGAUUUGCCUUUCCUGGAAUGCCAGCACUGUGUUGGAGAAACUCUGCGAUUAGAAGAGCAAAAGGGCAGUGCCUGAUUACUUCAGCAAGCUGAGCAGGGGCUGUAAGCUCAUUAAGGGGCUUGGGCUCUGCCUGCCCAAGGAGGGACACCUCAGUCCGGGUGUGGGAAGGUCCCAGUGCUGCUCCCAGAGCUGAGCUCUCACCCAGCCCAGCCAUGCUGGGCACCCUGAUGACAGCGCUGUUCUUCGUGGUGAGGGCGGUCAGGCAGGUGAGUCUGGACCCAGGAACAUUUAUUGCUGCCCUGCUGUUCUCUCCUGCUCUCUGAUGGGGCAGGCAGAGCACUUUCUGCUUGCCCUGCUAGGAAUGGCCUCUGUGCCUCCUAAACCCCCUGGGCAGGAGGGUGGGGGCUCUGUGUUACCACAGGGAGUGCCAGGGGAGGGUUGUGAUCUCUGAUGGUGAUUGUGGCUGAGCAGCUCUUUCUGUUCCUCUGCUGUCCUUUUCCCUGCUGAAAAACCCUCCCCGUGUGCAGCUGGGGACCAACCUGUUCCGUGAGGAGCCCCUGCCUUACCUGGUGUACCAGCCCCUGCCCUGGCAGAUCCAGUGCGUGUCCCAGAGCCGCCGCACCAGCCGGGACAGCGAGAGAGGCAGGAACUCCCGGCACAACAGCGUCUACUCGCUUUCUGGAGAGAAAGGUGACAUGAGCCCUGAUGCCAGCAGCGACAGCAGUGACCCUUCUGAGAGGGCAGCCAUCACCAUCCAGACCCACUUCAGGAGGUACCAGCAGCAGAAGCAGGAGAAGAAAUAGCCCCAGCAGCCACCUGUGGCCUGCACUGUCCCUCCUGUUUGUCUGUUCUGUACCCCAGAGACAUCUGGGGCCGUGGUGACUGUGAACCUGCCCCCAGUACGUAGCUCCUGGUGCAGGUGUAGGUUCUCUGCCCUGGUGUUGGUGCUCACAGGGGCUGUUCUCCUUCAAACCCUGCUGUGGUGGAGGGCAGGGGGAUCCCUGAGAGCACAGGGUGUGCUGGAAACUUGUGCUGUGCUCAACUGUGCAAGGCCAGGGCUUGUGCCUGCUGGGGAAGGGAAGCGGGGAAUCCUUGCUGAGAUGUAGAAGGAAAUCUGUACUAGCCAAUUCCAAUAAAGUUGUAUUAAUCUCUGUUAA
This is a long non-coding RNA of Catharus ustulatus (Swainson's thrush), 1445 nucleotides long. RefSeq lists it as uncharacterized. The transcript has 3 exons. The record is from RefSeq and is a predicted model, not a curated record. NCBI's taxonomy places the organism in Eukaryota, Metazoa, Chordata, Aves, Passeriformes, Turdidae.